GAGUUUGAUCUUGGCUCAGGAUGAACGCUGGCGGCGUGCUUAACACAUGCAAGUCGAACGGGGAUGGUACAUGCGAGGGAGUAGUUUACUAUGACCAGACAAGUGCCAUCCUAGUGGCGGACGGGUGAGUAACGCGUGGGCAACCUGCCCCGUACAGGGGGAUAACACUUAGAAAUAGGUGCUAAUACCGCAUGAGCGCACAAAGGCGCAUGCCUAUGUGCGGGAAGCCCGCGAGGGCGGUACGGGAUGGGCCCGCGUCUGAUUAGCCAGUUGGCAGGGUAACGGCCUACCAAAGCGACGAUCAGUAGCGGCCUGAGAGGGUGGACGGCCACAUUGGGACUGAGACACGGCCCAAACUCCUACGGGAGGCAGCAGUGGGGGAUAUUGCACAAUGGGGAAAACCCUGAUGCAGCGACGCCGCGUGAGUGAAGGAGCGUUUCGGCGCGUAAAGCUCUAUCAGCAGGGAAGACAAACU
Molecule: ribosomal RNA, 475 nt
Filed under: uncultured microorganism
Description: bacterial SSU rRNA
Rfam family: Bacterial small subunit ribosomal RNA
Source: RNAcentral